This 297-nucleotide unclassified non-coding RNA is filed under the name uncultured Ascomycota. RNAcentral's name for it is "sequence contains ITS1". The record is from RNAcentral. Lineage: Eukaryota; Fungi; Ascomycota.
UUGGACUACUGGGGUUUCUAAUCCUGUUUGCUACCCACGCUUUCGCUCCUCAGCGUCAGUACCGGCCCAGAGUGCCGCCUUCGCCGCUGGUGUUCUUCCUGAUAUCUGCGCAUUUCACCGCUACACCAGGAGUUCCACACUCCCCUACCGGACUCUAGUCACAGCAGUAUCAGGUGGCGUCUCCAGGUUGAGCCUGGAGGUUUCACACCCGACUUACCGAACCGCCUACGAGCUCUUUACGCCCAAUAAAUCCGGACAACGCUCGCCCCCUACGUGUUACCGCGGCUGCUGGCACCC